UAAUACGAAGGGGGCUAGCGUUGCUCGGAAUGACUGGGCGUAAAGGGCGCGUAGGCGGAUUGCUUUGUCGGGCGUGAAAUUCCAGGGCUUAACCUUGGGGCUGCGUUCGAGACGGGUGAUCUAGAGUUUGGAAGAGGGUCGUGGAAUUCCCAGUGUAGAGGUGAAAUUCGUAGAUAUUGGGAAGAACACCGGUGGCGAAGGCGGCGACCUGGUCCUUGACUGACGCUGAGGCGCGAAAGCGUGGGGAGCAAACAGGAUUAGAUACCCUGGUAGUCCACGCUGUAAACGAUGUGCGCUGGAUGUUGGGAAGCCUAGCUUUUCAGUGUCGUAGCUAACGCGGUAAGCGCACCGCCUGGGGAGUACGGCCGCAAGGUUG
This 376-nucleotide ribosomal RNA is filed under the name uncultured bacterium. Its description in RNAcentral is "bacterial SSU rRNA". It matches the Rfam family "Bacterial small subunit ribosomal RNA", at positions 521 to 896 of the family's 1533-position model. The record is from RNAcentral.